UGGGGAAUCUUGCACAAUGGGGGAAACCCUGAUGCAGCGACGCCGCGUGAGCGAUGAAGCCCUUCGGGGUGUAAAGCUCUUUCGGCAGGGACGAUAAUGACGGUACCUGAAGAAGAAGCUGCGGCUAACUACGUGCCAGCAGCCGCGGUAAUACGUAGGCAGCGAGCGUUGUUCGGAGUUACUGGGCGUAAAGCGUGCGUAGGCGGUGGUCCAAGUCUGGUGUGAAAUCUCCCGGCUCAACUGGGAGGGUGCGCCGGAAACUGGGCCGCUGGAGUGUGGGAGAGGCAAGUGGAAUUCCAGGUGUAGCGGUGAAAUGCGUAGAUAUCUGGAGGAACACCCGUGGUGCAGACGGCUUGCUGGACCAUAACUGACGCUGAUGCACGAAAGCGUGGGUAGCAAACAGGAUUAGAUACCCUGGUAGUCCACGCCCUAAACGAUGCAUACUUGGUGUGGGCAGUUCAGUCUGUCCGUGCCGAAGCUAACGCGAUAAGUAUGCCGCCUGGGGAGUACGGUCGCAAGGCUGA
This 524-nucleotide ribosomal RNA is filed under the name uncultured Acidobacteriota bacterium. Its description in RNAcentral is "bacterial SSU rRNA". It matches the Rfam family "Bacterial small subunit ribosomal RNA", at positions 355 to 897 of the family's 1533-position model. Lineage: Bacteria; Pseudomonadati; Acidobacteriota. The record is from RNAcentral.